AACCUGCCCAAGAGAUCGGGAUAACACCUGGAAACAGAUGCUAAUACCGGAUAACAACAGAUGAUGCCUAUCGACUGUUUAAAAGAUGGUUCUGCUAUCACUCUUGGAUGGACCUGCGGUGCAUUAGCUAGUUGGUAGGGUAACGGCCUACCAAGGCGAUGAUGCAUAGCCGAGUUGAGAGACUGAUCGGCCACAUUGGGACUGAGACACGGCCCAAACUCCUACGGGAGGCAGCAGUC
RNAcentral lists this ribosomal RNA (239 nucleotides) under uncultured Lactobacillus sp. RNAcentral's name for it is "partial 16S ribosomal RNA". It matches the Rfam family "Bacterial small subunit ribosomal RNA", at positions 123 to 355 of the family's 1533-position model. The record is from RNAcentral. Lineage: Bacteria; Bacillati; Bacillota; Bacilli; Lactobacillales; Lactobacillaceae.